RNAcentral lists this transfer RNA (72 nucleotides) under Streptosporangium carneum. RNAcentral describes it as "tRNA-Gly". The record is from RNAcentral. Lineage: Bacteria; Bacillati; Actinomycetota; Actinomycetes; Streptosporangiales; Streptosporangiaceae.
GGAGCUUCGGCGGGGACCGGGGGCCGGGGCGCUUCCGGUGUCCCGUCGGAGGUUCUGUCCCGACAGGCUUCC